CUCCACCCCUGCACCUCCCUACCACCUUCUGGGUUUAUUGCAUUCCUGGGUUGGCUCUGAGUUCUGAGAUAGCCUCUUAAGCCACUAACUCAAGAUCACCUUGGUUUUUUUUUCCUGUGAGUAGGAAUUGCAUUUUCCAAACCAAAACUCAUCGAACAGCUGGAGCAAGGCGACGAACCUUGGAGAGAGGAGAACGAACAUCUUCUGGACCUUUGUCCAGCAUUUCGUUAUAUAAAAAUGGGGUGGGCACAGUGGCUCACGCCUGUAAUCCCAGACUUUGAGAGGCUGAGGUGGGUGGAUCACUUGAGGCCAGGAGUUUGAGACCAGCCUGGCCAACAUGGCAAAAUCCCGUCUCUACUAAAAAUACACAAAUUAGCCGAGCCUGGUGGUGCAUGCCUGAAAUACCAGCUACUCGGAUGGCUGAGGAGUGAGAAUCGCUUGAACCUGGGAGGCGAAGGUUGCAAUGAACUGAGAUCACACCACUGUACUCCAGCCUGGGCUACAGAGUGAGACUCUGUCUCAAAAAAAAAUAAAGUAAAAUAAUGAUAAAAAUGUUAUUAAGAUACAGCAAUUAAGGUAUAUUAUAAGAUAUGUUUUUUAAGGUAUAAUAAACUACACUUAUAUAGGUGUGAAAUUUGGUUAGUUUUGGCAUAUGUAUACAUGCAUGAAAGCACUGCCACAGCUAAAGUAACAAGCAUGUCUGUCAUCCUUGAAAAUUUUCUUUCGCCUUACUGUAAUCCUACCUCCCACUCCUUCCUGUCCUCCCCUGUACCUGGGCAACCACUGAUCAGCUUUCUAUAAUUAUAGAUUUGUCUGCAUUUUCUAGAAUUUGUAUAACUGGAUUAUACAGGAUACAACUGGAUUCUUCACUCAGCAUAAGUAUUUUGAAUUUUAUCUAUAAUGUGUGUAUCAAUAGUUUAUUAAUUUUUAUUGCUGAGUAUUCCUUUAUAUGUCUAGGUCACAUUUUAAUACUGACCUAUUAAAAGGUAUUUGGGUUUUCAUUUUUGACAAAUAUAAAUAAAGCUGUUUUAAGCAUGCAAGUUUUUG
Molecule: long non-coding RNA, 1047 nt
Filed under: Homo sapiens (human)
Lineage: Eukaryota; Metazoa; Chordata; Mammalia; Primates; Hominidae
Description: HSALNT0353747
Source: RNAcentral